GCUUUAUGCCCAGAGAACUUUUUGGAAGCAAUUAAUAUAUGCGUGGUCUAUGGGUGUCGCGGCGAGAAUAUAUAAUUGUGGUUUAGAUCGAAGGCUUUCAAAAAUGAUGUGCAAUAAAUACAUGCAGGCAUGAAUGCUCGAACCCCUCUAACUCCGCGAAGACCGUCUCUGAUCUACGUUCGUUUCGUUAAUUUAGUUCUCGUGCUUUCAAAACAUGUAUAUCCAUUACCCUCCAGCUGUAGCAACUGCUCGUUCUUUUCGUCAGCUGGUUUAUGGUCCAAGAGGUCGGAUAAUAUUGGCCUGACAAUGAGGUGGGUGGCAAUCUAAAUUCUUGUACUCUUUUAGAGCGAUUAAUCACAUCAUCCUAUCUUAUGAGAUGAUGGCGAACAUUUACGUAUACAUACAUACGUACAUUACAUUUGAAUGCAGGAAUAUAUAUAUAUAUAUAUCCUAUCCAAAAGUAUCUGUAUACGAGAGAUACGUGAAACUUCCAGAUCAACAUCAUCUCGCCUUGCACGCUGCAGUAGCCGGUUAUAAUUUCAAAGCCAAAGGCCAAAGAUAGAUACAACUAACGCACUCGCGAUAAGCUUUGUAUACCAAAGUAAUUAUUGGCGCUGUAAUAACACCGAAUGAAUUUUUUAUUAUUAUUUUCAUUAUGUUUGCGCACUAAUAAUUAUCUACCAAUCACAUCCUCCUAAAUGUUUGAUCAGUGUACCUACGUUCUUCUCUCGAGUACCAUUACCUUCUCAAUGUUAGUUGAGACAAUGACGACCUCAUCUUUGAACAUUGGGAUCGACUAGGAGAAGCUAAAUUACGGCGAUGACAGACGUUGAACGAUUCCAAAGAUACCCCGCUCGAUGAAGGCGAUGACGUCAACCGUGACUUAUCGUUGAAUCCGAAGAGUCUGGGGUGCAGGCAUUCUUUGGCCUGUUCGAUGGCCGGACCUAACGCCACAUGUUAAUUUUUUUCUCAGGGUGCUACAAAGAGUUUUGUAAAUCUGCUAUUCCCACCGUGCGAGAACGGAAUACGAGACAGUGCGCCACUUGCAUAUUCACUUGCUUCUACGCGAGUGAAAAGGUACCUUCGGGAUCAGAUACAAAAUGGCGAACCAUAUAUCCUUCUUACAUCUUGGGACAACUAUACAUAUACGUGUCCCAGCAUUUACACCGCAGUAUAUCUAGUCGCCUGCUGUCAGGCGCCAUGCUUACGCUAUAUUCGUAAAGUCGAACCAAACUAAGGGCGGUAUUCAUAAUCCGGACUUAAGACCGUGGUCAAAUAAUAAUCUUUGUCAAGUGGAGCUUGACCUGCUCUUAAGCAAAUCAAAGCAAAUGCCAUAAUUGAUACACCCUAGCGCCAUCUGAAAACCCCAAGUAAGACCGUUUUAUUCGAACACCACCCCAGGUAACCACCCCGAUACACCCUAGCGCCAUCUAAGAACCCCAAGUAAGACCGUCUUAUGUGAUCACGGUCUUAAGACCGGACUAUGAAUACCGCCCUAAGUCCAAUCUCCAGUAAAAUGAGCUUGGUCCGUGAAUGAACCUGGCGCUAUAGGAACGGUGGCCCCUGACGACAGACGAGCAGACAUACUGCGGUAUAAACGCUGGGACACAGGGUAUGCAGACCGGAUCCGUUCAUUGUAGCGGCCCAGAGAAAUUUCUGAUAAAGGCAACUCACGGCCCGAGUACACUGUUCCCUCAUUUAUUUCAUGUUCUUUGGACACCAAUUCCGAAUUAUCGUAGGCUUGACCGUCUUUUCGUUCCAAGUGUACUUUUAUCAGGAGUUGCUCAGAUCAGUCUUAUGAAUAAUGAGGCAUUCAUGAGGCUUAUAAUAAAUGAAAUGUGUCCAUUAUUUUUAUAAUAUUAUUAUUAUUUCACAUCAUAUGAGAAGUAUGAUAUAGGUAUGUAAACUUUAGUUCACGUGGCACAGAUAAUUCUGAUCUGAAGAUACUAUAACUGAAUUGAUCCAACGGACUUUGGUUACUAUUUAUCCCUGAGCCUAGACCUUUUUUCCCUUUUCAUCUAUUAUAGAUACGUUUCACCGCUGCACUUUGUCCAUAUCUUUUAUUAUUGUUAUCUGUUAUAGCUUAAACACGUCACAUUAAU
Molecule: long non-coding RNA, 2102 nt
Organism: Athalia rosae (coleseed sawfly)
Lineage: Eukaryota; Metazoa; Arthropoda; Insecta; Hymenoptera; Athaliidae
Exons: 2
Source: RefSeq, a predicted model, not a curated record